CCUACACACUGGUUACCUCUCAUGGUUUUAGCUGUUUUUUAAGACCGUUUAUCUGGCAUGUCUAUCGUGCUAAACUUUCAAUAAAACCCCGGCCAGCACUGCCAAAAUGAAAUAGCUAAGAGGAAAGCUUUUCAUUACACGCCAAACUUUUCGCACAAUAUAUUAAAAACAAAAAAAUACGCGACCAGUUAAAACUAUCUACAGGAAAACCAAAAAGGGUAAAAAACAAAUGCAUACAAAAUGGACGCCAUUCGCUGCAGUGGGAAAAAAAAUACACAAGUUUCGGUUAAAAAGUGCAAUAACAAAUUAACGCAACGGAAACGAAAAUAUAAUAAGAAGCCCACAUUAUGCCACAUAAAUCAAACGGAUCUCGUUACGGUGGGGGAAAAAGUGCUUUCAGCUGCCAAGGCGACUUCUUUAAAUAUAUCAAGCCCCUGAUGAACAGAAAAAGUGAAUGAAAAAGAUUUUCCCUCACGUUUUUGGAAUGUUUUUAAUGAGCAAUUACGGAUGAUACUUUCUUACUCCAAGCAAAACCUAAGUUAAUAAGGUGUUGUUUUUGCAUUUUAAAUUCGCUUCUAAAUAUAAUUUAAUAAUGGUCCCUAUUUAAA
This is a long non-coding RNA of Drosophila ficusphila, 608 nucleotides long. RefSeq lists it as uncharacterized. Lineage: Eukaryota; Metazoa; Arthropoda; Insecta; Diptera; Drosophilidae. The transcript is spliced from 2 exons. The record is from RefSeq and is a predicted model, not a curated record.